This is a non-coding RNA of Agelaius phoeniceus (red-winged blackbird), 3832 nucleotides long. Lineage: Eukaryota; Metazoa; Chordata; Aves; Passeriformes; Icteridae. The record is from RefSeq and is a predicted model, not a curated record.
AUGGCCCUCGCCGGCAGGGCGGCGCUGCGCUGGGGGGCACGGCUGCCGAGCCCCGGCCCCGCCGCCGCCCCGCUCUGCCGCCAGGCCUGGCUGCCCGCGGCGUGCGGGCGGCCCUACAGCUCCCGCGGCAAGGAAGAAAUAGAUAUGUCAACGUAUCCUGUUGAAAGCAUUAGAAACUUCAGUAUUAUAGCUCAUGUAGAUCAUGGCAAAAGUACACUAGCAGACAGAUUGCUGGAAAUUACAGGUACAAUUUCUAAAACUGACCGUAAUAAACAAGUGCUGGAUAAACUUCAAGUGGAACGUGAAAGAGGAAUUACAGUUAAAGCCCAAUCUGCAUCUCUCUUUUACAGUCAUGAAGGAAUAAACUACCUCUUAAAUCUUAUUGACACACCAGGCCACGUAGAUUUCAGCUAUGAAGUAUCACGGUCACUAUCUGCCUGUCAAGGUGUCAUACUUGUGGUGGAUGCAAAUGAGGGUAUUCAGGCUCAGACAGUGGCAAACUUCUAUCUUGCCUUUGAAGCGCAGCUUUCAAUAAUUCCUGUCAUAAAUAAGAUUGACUUGAAAAAUGCAGACCCUGAAAGAGUUGAAAAACAAAUUGAGAAGCUGUUUGAUAUCCCUACAGAUGAAUGCAUAAGGAUUUCUGCUAAACAAGGAACAAAUGUUGAAAAAGUUCUUCAAAAGGUCAUUGAGAAGAUCCCACCACCCCAAGGUAAUACUGCUGAUCCACUGAAAGCCUUAGUAUUUGACUCUACCUUUGACCACUACCGAGGUGUCAUAGCUAACAUUGCGCUCUUUGGUGGGGAGAUUGCAAAGGGACAGAAAAUUGUGUCUGCACACACUAAGAAAAGAUAUGAAGUUCAUGAAGUUGGAAUUCUGACUCCAAAUGAACAGCCAACACAUAAGCUCUAUGCAGGACAGGUGGGGUACCUGAUUGCUGGAAUGAAAGAAGUAACGGAAGCCCAAAUAGGAGACACACUGUUUUUGUAUAAACAGCCAGUGGAGCCUUUGCCUGGCUUUAAGUCAGCGAAGCCAAUGGUUUUUGCAGGAAUGUAUCCAAUAGAUCAAACAGAAUAUAAUAAUCUCAAAAGUGCUUUGGAAAGGCUGACAUUGAAUGACUCCAGUGUAACUGUUCAUCGUGACAGUAGCCUUGCCUUAGGAGCAGGAUGGAGAUUGGGUUUCCUUGGUCUUCUACAUAUGGAAGUCUUUAAUCAGCGUUUGGAGCAAGAGUAUAACAUGUCUGUUAUUUUGACUGCACCUACAGUUCCAUAUAAAGCUGUUCUUUCCUCAGCAAAGUUGAUAAAGGAGUAUGGAAAAGACCAGAUUACUAUUAUCAACCCUGCUCAGUUUCCUGAUAAAUUUUCAGUAUCAGAAUAUUUGGAGCCAACUGUUCUUGGUACUAUUGUAACACCUCAUGAAUAUAUUGGGAAAAUAAUUACCUUGUGCCAGGAUCGUAGGGCAGUCCAGAGAGAUCUGUUGUACAUUGAUGAAAACAGGGUUAUGCUAAAAUACCUCUUUCCACUGAAUGAAAUUGUGGUGGAUUUUUAUGAUGCUCUUAAGUCUCUGUCUUCUGGCUAUGCAAGUUUUGAUUAUGAAGAUGCAGGUUACCAAUCAGCAGACCUAAUCAAAAUGGAUAUUCUUCUAAAUGGAAAUCCAGUUGAAGAACUCGCAACUAUCAUACACAAUGAUAAAGCCUAUGCUGCUGGUAAACUCCUGUGUGAACGUUUAAAAGAGACUAUUCCUAGACAGUUGUUUGAAAUAGCCAUCCAGGCUGCCAUUGGCAAGAAAAUCAUUGCAAGAGAAACGCUGAAGCCUUACAGAAAAAAUGUUGUGGCAAAAUGUUAUGGUGGUGACAUUACAAGAAGAAUGAAGCUUUUAAGGAGGCAAGCAGAAGGCAAGAGGUUGAUGAGAAAAAUUGGCAAUGUUGAGGUUCCAAGAGAUGCUUUUAUACGUGUUCUAAAGAGAGAAACUGACAAAUAGAGAUCAGUGAAAUCUGAUCUUCCAGAUCAUGUCAGCUUUUUGCAGACAGUAGCAAAGUGAGCUAAUACAGGAUUUAUCACUGUGAAAGGGAACAUACAUGACUUCAAAUGGAAUGAAUUUGCUGUUUCAGGUGCACUGAAAAACCAAAGAUCUGGAUGUGAACAAGGUAUCUGCACCUUUAAUAAAGGUACCUAAGCUGCUGCUACUGACCCUGAAGAAAGGAAGGAUGCUGUGGAUAAAGGCUCUCUAACACAUUUAUUAUUCCUCCCCUAUAAAAGCUAGCAUUUAAGGAACUACAGCUGCAGGGAUACAUGCUAGGAGCAAAGGAGCUAAAAUGAACUCCUUGAACCAGACCUACAGGCAGUGAUUCUGUACUGAGGAAUAAGGCAGAAACUGAAGGUGAGCUAGAGAUUGUCCAAACAGUAAAUUAUAUCCUUGCUGAGUGACAGAGACAUCAAGUGUAUGUUACCUAAUUAAAUGAGUUACAUAGAUGGAUAGAGCUGCCUUGAGAAUCUGUUUUAGCUUUACUAUAGUCACAUGAGGCAGAAAAAAAAUACAAAUUAUAGUCUUAAUUCUGAGAUGACUUGUACAUAUAUCAGUUUUCAAAACAAGAACUUUAAAUUAACUGGUCAGUACCUGUAAAGUACAUGAGGUAUUAGUUUUUGACACAAAUGUACCUGAUUCUAUCUAGUUACUUUUUGAUUCCCCCUUUCCUUUGGAAAGACCUUAAAAUGAGAAAAAGAAUAAAAUGGUAACCUUGAUGUGCUAGGCUAACUUAGAAUUUACUUUUAAGGACUCCUGAACUUGAAAAUGCUUGCUUUGCCAUUACUGCAGAGUAAUGGGUUAACUCUUAUGCAACUUAAAGGGUUGACUGGACCACUAAAGUAGUGGACAAGUUUGGAAGGUACUCUCCUGAAGAAAUGAUAUUUCAUAAAAUGAUUGGAAGUAUCUUAAGGAAUGAAAUAACAGAAACAGUGUGGUAGUACUUAAAAAAAUUUCAUAAUAUAGCACUCAAAAUUUUUAAAAAAUAGUGUAACAAGAGAAACAAGCUGGAGAACAACAAGAGCUGUGCAUUAAAAGAGGCAAUAGUCCCAGACCCAAGGACAGACAGGUUCUGCUGUACCGGUAUUUAAACUGGCCUGUGUUUUACAGAAGGUCGAGUAGUUAAAAAGGGAGGAAAUAUAUUAAUUCUGUGAUCUGGCACAUCUUGAGAACACAGAGGGCUUUAGUGAGUAAGGGUGCCAAGUGAGGCACAUGAUUGAAAGGUGUGCUGGAAUAAAGAACAAGAAUAUUGUUUCAAUAGCAUUCUCCAUUUUGGCACAUGAAGGAUAAUGAUCAAGAUGAAACCUGUUUCAAUUCCAUUAAUACUAACCUAAAUUAAUUACUACUUUUAGUUUCAUGCUUUUGUAAUAGAAUUGUUUGUAAAUUUGCUUAGCUGUAAAGGCUAAUGGCAAACCUAACACUGCAUUUUGAGUCAUACAUUACCUGUAACAGCAUUCUUCUGAAAGGCAGUCUUUUCAACUUUUUUCCCCACAAUGUUGCAUUAUGCUUCAAAAAUACAUGUGCAUAAACUGAGCCUUAAAGCUGAAAACCUGUUUUAAAUAUGUGGAUGUUCAAUGUACUGUUGAGAAUUGAAACACUAGGCCUGGCUUCCUACACUGCUGUAGACAGAUUCUUCCAUGCUUUUGUAAUUCCUCAGAAUCAGAGAACAGUCCAGUUUUGAAAGGACUCUGUAAGACCAUUUAUGAGAAAGGUGAGCCUAGAUGAGUCUAGAAAAGUCACCUAGAUGAAAGGUGAGCCUCUCACAUCCCUGGGGAGAUAAUGUGAUUUUGUAAUAAAGACUACAUGCCUGUCA